RNAcentral lists this ribosomal RNA (253 nucleotides) under uncultured bacterium. RNAcentral's name for it is "partial 16S ribosomal RNA". It matches the Rfam family "Bacterial small subunit ribosomal RNA", at positions 524 to 776 of the family's 1533-position model. The record is from RNAcentral.
CACGUAGGGGACGAGCGUUGUCCGGAUUCAUUGGGCGUAAAGCGCGCGUAGGCGGCUCGGAAAGUCGGUCGUGAAAUGCCGGGGCUCAACCCCGGGACUGCGUCCGAUACUUCCGGGCUGGAGGUAGGUAGGGGAGAUCGGAAUUCCUGGUGUAGCGGUGAAAUGCGCAGAUAUCAGGAGGAACACCGAUGGCGAAGGCAGGUCUCUGGGCCGAUACUGACGCUGAGGAGCGAAAGCGUGGGGAGCGAACAGG